CAGGGGGCUCUGUCGAGCCGGCGCCGCCACCCGUCUCCCUCCUCCGGCUCCUGGAGCCCCCGAGAACCCCCGGGAGCCCCCGGGGGCCCGUGACGCCGGAGGGGGUGGCGACGGCGGCCCCUCUGCUCAGACAGGGAGGAAGAGGGGGCUUCGCUGUGGACCGGAGGGGCCCCACCGUCCCCAGCACCAUCUUCUGAGCAGUCACCCUAUGAGGGUGUGCUCCAGGUAUGCUCUUCAGCUCACCUGAACUCUGAGUAGCAGGUAAAGGGUGUUUGCCCAGGCUGGGCUCCCUAGGGGCUGCACGACCGUGGGCAAAUCACUUCCCUCUGAGACUCCCUCCUCACCUGAAAAGUGAGGGAAAUGACACCGUUUCGAAUUCUCACAAAUUAAAGGUUUGACAAUAUCAAGUUAUUUAAAUGUUCUGUGCUCAGUUUCCCCGUCUACGAAAUGGCGAGGAUAGUAGGAACGGCCUCAGUGGACCACCGAGAGGAUUAAAUGAGUUAUACACAUAAAGGGAUACAUGCCCCAUAAAUGUGAGCCGUCACCAUCAGCUGUUGCGAGGGUUUGGUGCAAGCGCUGGGAGGUGACAGGGAGCUACUUACCGAAACUAACACUGUCACCAAGCAAGCCCAUUUCUCAGUAUUUCCAGCUGCCGCCGAGAUGAUUCUGACUCAGAGCGACCACGUCAGAGGAGAACUACUCGGCCGGGUUUUCGGUCGGUGAUUUUUCAGGAGCGGAUUACCACGCCCUUCUUCCAAGGCACCUCUGGGUGGACUUGAACCUCCCACCUUUCAGUCAGCAGCUUCCUUAACUGUUGGCACCGUGCCCCGCCCCGGGCUCCCUUUUUCAGUGUGCACCUACAGAAAUGCUUGCUCACACGCCUGGGAAGCUGCACAAGACUACUGAUUGCGACAUUUUAACUGCAAAGAAUUGGAACCACCACCAUGUUCAUCGGACACAACCCCAUGAGGCAAAUGCCAUUAGAUUCAAUUUACAGAGGAAGAAACUAAAGUUCGGGGAAGUGAAAGGACUUGCCAAGUUCAACAAGGAUACUCAGGGCCUCAUCUUCAUAGACCCUCUCUGCAAGAGCCUGGAUUGCCCCCUCUCCAGAUGUGCCCAAGGCAUCCCCACAGUGCCAACUCAAGGGAAAGCCAGUCCUUGCUGAGAAGUGGGACCGUCCUGAGACUGCAAUGCUGUGUGAGGCCCACCCCUCAGUGAAAGAGGCCACAUGGAAGACUAAGGUCCUUGUCAGCCUAUGAGGGAGGCCUCUGGCUGUGGACACUCCAACUCCAGUUGAGCUGCCCCAGCCAAUAUCACGUAGAGCAGAGACCAGCUGUCCCAAAUGGCAGAACGGGGAGCAAAUAAAUAAAAAUUUUGUUAUUUCAAGCCACAAAGCUUUGGGGUAGUUUGUUAUGCAGUAAAAGGUAACACUAAUACAUAUUAGGGAGAAAAGCAGACUACUACUUUCCUCUCACCAUAGUUCUGAUCUGUGUUAGGAGUCGGGCAGAAGUUCAGCUUGUACACACUACAUGUACACGUGCACAAAGUUACAGACUUCCUGGGACUAGAAGGGACUCUUCACAUUUUAUGGGAAAUCUGAGGUCCAGAAAGGCUAGGCCCAGCACUGCAAGGGGCACUAAUGAUGAGUCGGGGCUAACCCCAGGCAGCUCCAGUUUUUGGUCUGGGCCCGGCAGGGCAUGGCCAGCUGGGUUCCCCAGUUUGGGUCAGUGGGCCUUCGGCUGCAAGUGGGACACUGUUCAUGGCAGGAGUGUGUCUGCAGCUCCAAAUUCCCACAAAGAAAGACAAGGGGAAUCAUUGCAGAGAAAUUCCUGGGCCACAUUUUUCUUGCUGUUCAUGUGGCCUGAAGCCAUUGAACUUGGCUGGACUGCCCAGGGAGGGAUUUUACAAAGGCCUUUGUCCUGUCCUCCAAAGUCUCACCCCCACCCCUGUCCUACCUUUUCUUUCUUUCUUCCCUCCCCCACCCCAGGAGAAAUGCAGCUUGGGAAAGGGCCAGAGGCCAUGGCCCAGCCCGGCCCUGGCCAGUUGGUGGACUGACGGGGCAGCAGAGAGGCAGGGCACUUCCUGGCUGUGGAGGCCGCAGGCUUUCCAUGCCCUAGAGGGAGGUGGGAGGCAGGAGGAUACUGCUUCAGUACUUCAGUAAGAAGAGUAAGGUGUAUUGAGCACCUACUGUAUGCUGAGCACUGUUCUGAGCAUCCUACAUAUGUUAACUCAUUAAUCCUCACAAGAGCCCUAUUAUAAUCUCCAUUUUACAGAAUGGGAAAUGGAGGCACAGAACGGUUAUGGACUUACCUAGGGUCCCACAGCUGGUAAGUGGAAGAGAGGGGAUGUGACCGGAGGUGUCUGCUUCCAGUGUGACUCUUACCUCUCACUCUCCCACAGCUCAGCAUUCCACUUAUAGACACAGCCCUGAUGGUGUGUCUGUAAAGUCGGAGCAACAAUUUCUUUUACAAAGCAUUUGCAUUGAUAUGGCUUGCAGGUCUUUGAGGGGCUCCCAGCACCUGACAUGCCACAGAAUAUGAGACCUUCCCCCACAGGUGGGGCCCACCAAGUGUCUGGUCCUCUGAGCUGGGGCCCAGCACUGUGACCAGGGAGGUACUUAGUACUCUGAUUCCUCACCAUGACCGCUGCUGCUGACAGUGCAGGGACAGACCAGUCGCCAAGGGAGUCUUCACGGUGGGCCAGCCCUGGGCUUGGUG
Loxodonta africana (African savanna elephant) is the source of this 2717-nucleotide long non-coding RNA. RefSeq lists it as uncharacterized. The record is from RefSeq and is a predicted model, not a curated record. The transcript has 4 exons. Lineage: Eukaryota; Metazoa; Chordata; Mammalia; Proboscidea; Elephantidae.